Glycine soja is the source of this 552-nucleotide long non-coding RNA. RefSeq lists it as uncharacterized. NCBI's taxonomy places the organism in Eukaryota, Viridiplantae, Streptophyta, Magnoliopsida, Fabales, Fabaceae. The record is from RefSeq and is a predicted model, not a curated record. The transcript has 2 exons.
GCUGCAACCCCCACCUCCAUAAUUCCCUAGCUUAUUUUUCCUUUCAGUCGCUUCACGUACAUUAAUUUCUUUUACCUUUUUAUCCUACUUAAUCUGGUAAAUAAUUGGCAUGCAUGAUUCUAAAAUUCUAAAAGCUAGUUAAGCUAUAUAUCGUACUCCAAUCAUCCAUGCAUGCGUCACAGUUGAUGAUGGGUUUGAACUUUGAAGAGCCGUGGAAGAAAGGUGAAACCAAAAAAAGAUCAAAAAGGGCAGAAAGGGUAUUCGGGUCCCAUUCAAAGUUGGCAGUGGAUUACUUGGAUACGCUUCAAAUCUUCAACACGUAAAGGAGAACGACUUGGAUGUGUCGCUUGACAUAAAAAACGGGUGCAAGUCGUGUCUUGAUAAGACAUGAUUGAAAGUGGAGAUUACAAAAAACAAACUAAGGGACAUGGAGGCUUGAGCUCAAAUGUCAUGUUUGGCAGAGGUUCGGUUAUAAAUGGCGGGUUUUCUUGGUUCUUGGUUGUGAAAAUUUUGAUCGGCAAAUUUUAAUUUGGGCUGCCAUUUUUUUUUUCA